GACGAACGCUGGCGGCGUGCUUAACACAUGCAAGUCGAACGGAAAGGCCCUGCUUUUGUGGGGUGCUCGAGUGGCGAACGGGUGAGUAACACGUGAGUAACCUGCCCUUGACUUUGGUAUAACUUCAGGAAACUGGGGCUAAUACCGGAUAGGAGCUCCUGCUGCAUGUUGUGGGUUGGAAAGUUUCGGCGGGUGGGGAUGGACUCGCGGCUUAUCAGCUUGUUGGUGGGGUAGUGGCUUACCAAGGCUUUGACGGGUAGCCGGCCUGAGAGGGUGACCGGCCACAUUGGGACUGAGAUACGGGCCAGAGUCCUACGGGAGGCAGCAGUGGGGAAUAGUGCACAAUGGGCGGAAGCCUGAUGCAGCAACGCCGCGUGCGGGAUGACGGCCGUCGGGUUGUAAACCGCUUUCGCCUGUGACGAAGCGUGAGUGACGGUAAUGGGUAAAGAAGCACCGGCUAACUACGUG
Molecule: ribosomal RNA, 468 nt
Filed under: uncultured bacterium
Lineage: Bacteria
Description: partial 16S ribosomal RNA
Rfam family: Bacterial small subunit ribosomal RNA
Source: RNAcentral